GAUGAACGCUGGCGGCGUGCCUAAUACAUGCAAGUCGAGCGAACAGACGAGGAGCUUGCUCCUCUGACGUUAGCGGCGGACGGGUGAGUAACACGUGGAUAACCUACCUAUAAGACUGGGAUAACUUCGGGAAACCGGAGCUAAUACCGGAUAAUAUAUUGAACCGCAUGGUUCAAUAGUGAAAGACGGUUUUGCUGUCACUUAUAGAUGGAUCCGCGCCGCAUUAGCUAGUUGGUAAGGUAACGGCUUACCAAGGCAACGAUGCGUAGCCGACCUGAGAGGGGGGUAGGCCACACUGGAACUGAGACACGGUCCAGACUCCUGAGGGAGGCAGCAGUAGGGAAUCUUCCGCAGUGGGCGAAAGCCUGACGGAGCAGCGCCGCGUGAGUGAUGAAGGUCUUCGGAUCGUAAAACUCUGUUAUUAGGGAAGAACAAAUGUGUAAGUAACUAUGCACGUCUUGACGGUACCUAAUCAGAAAGCCACGGCUAACUACGUG
RNAcentral lists this ribosomal RNA (497 nucleotides) under uncultured bacterium. Its description in RNAcentral is "partial 16S ribosomal RNA". It matches the Rfam family "Bacterial small subunit ribosomal RNA", at positions 28 to 507 of the family's 1533-position model. The record is from RNAcentral.